Dermochelys coriacea (leatherback sea turtle) is the source of this 762-nucleotide long non-coding RNA. RefSeq lists it as uncharacterized. The transcript is spliced from 3 exons. The record is from RefSeq and is a predicted model, not a curated record. Lineage: Eukaryota; Metazoa; Chordata; Testudines; Dermochelyidae.
GUUCAAGUCUUUUGCCUUCCUGUACAGGAGCUUCAAGUGUUUGAUGCUUUCCUGGCACUGGGCCCGAGCCUGCUGAACACCCACUUGAUCCAGCCUCCAUGAAAUUUCCCGGGUAGAGGCUGUUUCUCUCUCAGGUAUUCUAGCAUGGACCAACACCUUCCCUGCUUCUUCUUCCCCACAAAAUGCUACUUGAUCUCCAGGAAACCUCUUGGGGGACAGUACCUUCCCUGGCAUGGCUUCCAUACCCUCGUGUGCUGCUGCUGAGCCAUCUCCUGCCAGAAAUAUCAGGACCCUAGAAAUUCCCUGCUGUACACCAGAUCCUUCUGCUGCUCCCACUUUGGAUUGGAGUGCCCGAGGAGCCCUCACUUCACCCCUUUUAUAGAAUGUGUUGUGUGUCUUGUAGAUCUGAGAGAUACAAAAACCUCCUUCUCCUUUACUGUUUAAGACACUGCCCUCAAUAGGUACCAGUUUUUAUGGAUUUAUACAUAGGCGAAGGAUACAUAGAGUCCAAGUACUUGCUUCUCCAUCAUAGCAUCAACACUGAUAUGCAAAGCCAGAACACUAGCUCCUGAUUUAUUAAACAGUGUGGGAAGAGAGAGAACACAACACUCUGUUGAGAGCAUAUUGAUUCAGACAAUACAUAAUUAAUACAGAUUAAAUACAAUAAUAGAAGAGCACUCAUGUUGUGCUCCUUGUGCAUGACACACAAAGGCAAACUGAAGACCAUCGUAACCUGCUCUGUGGCACCAUAAAGAUUGAGAA